RNAcentral lists this ribosomal RNA (440 nucleotides) under uncultured bacterium. RNAcentral describes it as "partial 16S ribosomal RNA". It matches the Rfam family "Bacterial small subunit ribosomal RNA", at positions 338 to 795 of the family's 1533-position model. The record is from RNAcentral.
CCUACGGGAGGCAGCAGUGGGGAAUAUUGCACAAUGGGGGGAACCCUGAUGCAGCGACGCCGCGUGAGUGAAGAAGUAUUUCGGUAUGUAAAGCUCUAUCAGCAGGGAAGAAAGUGACGGUACCUGACUAAGAAGCCCCGGCUAACUACGUGCCAGCAGCCGCGGGAAUACGUAGGGGGCAAGCGUUAUCCGGAUUUACUGGGUGUAGAGGGAGCGCAGACGGCUGUGCAAGUCUGGCGUGAAAGGCGGGGGCCCAACCCGCGGACUGCUCUGGAAACUGUAAAGCUGGAGUGUAGUAGAGGUAAGCGGAAUUCCUGGUGUAGCGGUGAAAUGCGUAGAUAUUAGGAGGAACACCAGUGGCGAAGGCGGCUUACUGGACUGCAACUGACGUUGAGGCUCGAAAGCGUGGGGAGCAAACAGGAUUAGAUACCCGUGUAGUC